Molecule: ribosomal RNA, 271 nt
Filed under: Agastopsylla boxi boxi
Lineage: Eukaryota; Metazoa; Arthropoda; Insecta; Siphonaptera; Hystrichopsyllidae
Description: partial 12S ribosomal RNA
Source: RNAcentral
UGAAACUUAAAGAAUUUGGCGGUAUUUUAAUCUAGUCAGAGGAACCUGUCCUUUAAUCGAUAUUCCUCGUUAAAUUUUACUAAAUUAUUUAUAUACCGUUGUCGUAAGAAUAAAUUUUCAAAAAUUAUAAUUAUAAUUUAUGUCAAAUCAAGGUGUAGUUUAUAAUUUAGUAGAGAUGGGUUACAAUAAAUUUAUUUAGGAUAUUAUUGAAGGAGGAUUUGAUAGUAAAUAAAAUUUAAUAAGUUUUAUUGAUUAUAGUUCUAAAAUAUGU